Molecule: long non-coding RNA, 243 nt
Filed under: Elaeis guineensis (African oil palm)
Lineage: Eukaryota; Viridiplantae; Streptophyta; Magnoliopsida; Arecales; Arecaceae
Description: long non-coding RNA (EGUI_LNC064265)
Source: RNAcentral
AGUAGAUAUCUGACACACUAUCUAAUCUAGGGUGCUUGCCAGUAGAAUAGACUCUUAUCAGGCUUGAUCUUUUUGGUCUGGCUCUGCACAGCUGUCCCAGCCUAAACUUGCUCCUUCUUGACUUUCUUCUUCUUGUUCUUCUUCCCUUUCUUAAAAGGUCAAGAACCAGAAGACGAACCUCCCACUAAGUUCACCAACUCCUUGUGAAGUUGGUGAUCCUUCUCAAAGUUUUGAAGCAACCCC